AAAAUCUCUGGUUAUUCAAAUAAAAUCUGUGGUUAAAUUAGUCAACUUUGAUAUUUAUUUGAAAUUUGGUUUAGGACUUAUGUAUGAACUAGGUUUGCUGUGUUUCUGUGUAAAUUUUUUGUAUCUAUACUACUAAUUGAAUUAUUGAAGAAAGUGUUUAAAAAUGUAAUUGUUCUACCUUUGUAGGUUUUACAGAAUGUUCUUAAUCACAGUAAUAAAAUUUCUCUAUGCAUGCCUGAGUCUCAGCAGCAAAAUACUCCUCCGAAGUCUGAGAAAAAUGGUGGCAGCAGCCCAGAGAGUGAUGUAGGCACAGAUAACAAGUUAACUCCUCCAGAAUCCCAGUCACCACUGCACUGGUUAGCAGAUCUUGCAGAGCAAAAAGCCAGAGAGGAAAAAAAAGAAAACAAAGAACUUACCCUUGAAAACCAAAUUAAAGAAGAAAGAGAACAAGACAACUCUGAAUCUCCAAAUGGCAGAACAUCACCUCUUGUGUCCCAGAAUAAUGAACAAGGCUCAACCUUACGGGAUUUGCUGACUACAACAGCUGGAAAGCUACGUGUGGGGUCUACAGAUGCUGGCAUUGCCUUUGCCCCAGUAUAUUCAAUGGGAGCCCCAAGUAGCAAAAGUGGACGGACUAUGCCUAACAUUCUUGAUGACAUAAUUGCUUCAGUUGUUGAAAACAAAAUUCCACCAAGUAAAACCUCCAAGAUAAAUGUAAAACCAGAGCUUAAAGAAGAGCCUGAAGAAAGCAUAAUAUCUGCAGUGGAUGAAAAUA
Molecule: small RNA, 775 nt
Filed under: Pan troglodytes (chimpanzee)
Lineage: Eukaryota; Metazoa; Chordata; Mammalia; Primates; Hominidae
Description: processed transcript
Source: RNAcentral